This 2422-nucleotide long non-coding RNA is filed under the name Salmo salar (Atlantic salmon). Its description in RNAcentral is "lncRNA (ENSSSAG00000083995.1)". The stretch from base 1337 to 1390 matches the Rfam family "UnaL2 LINE 3' element". Lineage: Eukaryota; Metazoa; Chordata; Actinopteri; Salmoniformes; Salmonidae. The record is from RNAcentral.
CUGGGCGAAAAACAGCAGGGGUUUUGGUGAGUGGUCUUUCUGGGAACAAUGACACUGAGGCACUCGUGCAUGAGACAGCUCCAUUUUUUUCUUUCAGUGUUUGAACGAAUACGUCGUCGCCCGGUUGGAAUAUUAUUGCUAUUUUACAAGAAAAAUCGCAUAAAAAUUGAUUAAGUUGUAAAGUUUGGUUUUAAUCUUACGAUAGAGGUAAGGCAGAACGUUGUUUGAGUAGGGGUUAUAUUUUGGCGUACUGGUAAGGAUAGGAGAGUUGUGUGCGCAGGGCUAUGUUGGGCUGUUUGGCUGUAAGGAAUUCAGGUGUGAAUAAGGAAACAUUUUGUGAUAAUGUAUUCUGAUUAUUGUUUCUUAGUUUAUUGUUUAGGUAACACCAGUGAAUUUGAGCAGGAAGUUCAUGUAUUCUAACAUUAUAAUCUGUUUCCAUUACGUGGAACAAUGUCAGGUCAUUAAAGUGGAUUGCAGUUUGAGUUUAUUUUUAUUUUCACAGGGACAGUGCACAUUAAUCACAGUUGUGUGUGUGUGUGUGUGUGUGUGUGUGUGUGUGUGUGUGUGUGUGUGUGUGUGUGUCUGGAGCCUGGAUCUUGAAUACAAGAUAGGCGUCAAUGUAUUGCACAAGAUAUUUUUCCAACUCAGGAGCUUAUGCUUUUUAUAGCUAUUGGGCUUCCUAUCAAGCACUUUGAGAGCCUGUUUGCAGAUAGACUGAAUGGGUUUUAAUGUUGUACAGCAAGCUUGGGCCAUACUAGUAAAGUAGUAUGUUAAGUGGGGGAGUAUCAUAGAUUUGAAGUAUAGUUUUCUUACCUCUAUGGUUAAACAAUUUCAUAUGUUUUGGAAAUUAGCUUGGUUGAAUUUGGUUAUUUGAAUUACAUUUUUAAUUUGCUUUUUAAAAGAGAGGUUGGAAUCAAGUAUGAUGCCAUGGAACUUAAAAUCAGAUAUCACAUGGAGCUUUUCCCCUGAUACAUAGACAUCUGUCUCAGGGGCAUCAGUUGUUUUCUUUGUGAGGAACAUGCAGACUGUGUUUUGUUUUUAUUGAGAUACAAACAUGAGUCCCUGAGCAACUUUGUCAUCUGAACCAUUACAGUAGUGAGUUCUUGUGUAGCUUGUUGUUUGUUAUUUGCAUGCAUUUAUCACUGUAUCAUCUGCAUACAUUGGAACUUCAGACCCUGUACAGACAGAAGGAAGAUCAUUAAUGUACGAGCUGAACAGUAUGCCUUCCCCGUAGCUCAGUUGGUAGAGCAUGGUGUUUGCAACGCCAGGGUUGUGGGUUCGAUUCCCACGGGGGGCCAAGUACGAAGAAGAAAAAAAUUGUAUGAAAUGAAAUGUAUGCAUUCACUACUGUAAGUCGCUCUGGAUAAGAGCGUCUGCUAAAUGACUAAAAUGUCAAAUGUAUUGACCUUUCGGGAAUGAAAACAUUAUGAGUGGGAAAAAAAUUGUUUUGAUUCUUAGGCUGAUGAGACAGCACCAACUUUUGAAAGUUUGUUAAACAAAAUGUGUGUUUUUACUACAUUUAUGCAACAGGUUGAAAUGAUUUGAUUGCUGGAAAGGGGUUAUGGGUUUGUUUAUUGUUUACUGUUUAUUUUGGAUGUUGAUUUCACUUCAUUAAACAUUGUAUUAUCUGUUGUGUUUGAGUAGGAUUCUUUCUUCCGGGACAGAUGGAAGUCAACUAAAGUAUGUAUGUUAAAGGAGACAUGGCAAAACACGUCUACAUUUUUCUUGAAUGGCUGGGAUUAAAUAUCACUGAUUCCUUACACUGAGAAAUGUACUACAUUUGCAACAUAAUUUUUUUUUCAUUUAGUGUGUUAACAGGAACAAUCCAAAGGAGAAAAGGCUAUCACAUAUUUGUUGGACAUUGGUCUAGUAAUGAAACCAGGAUAAUUGUAUCUAAGCAUUUUCAAUUAAGUAUUCAUAUACAUUGAUGUAGAUUAAAACUAAUGAUUAAUGAUUUGAGGGAGUACAGUGGAAUUAUCAUUAUUAUUAGGUUUUGUUUGAAGUUAACUUUUGGGUUUCUGAAUUGGUGUAGUAUAAUGAAUGCUAACAAAGUGUUUUGUGUUUUCUUUGGGAAAAUGGGGAUUUCAUUGUCUAUUUUUGGAAUGUUUCCUAGAGCCACUCAAAAAAUAAAACUUUUAAAAUUCCAUGUGUGGUUAAUCCAGAUGAUUGGAACACUGUUGACACUUUUCAGCAAGUUGCAAUCAUGUAAUACAGAAAAAAAAACGUUUUUCAUAAACAAGGUCUAAAUCAUGUUUGAGUCACUCUGUAAAUACCAUUUUGCUGUACUGUUUAAACUCGAUGAAAGGAACAAUGUUGACACUUUUCUGCAAGUUGCAAUCAUGAAAUACAGAAAUAAACAGUUUUUCAUAAACAAGGUCUACAUCAUGUUUGAUGCACUCUGUAAAUACCAUUUUUGCUGUAC